GUCAAGUCCAAGUGGAUCAAGGAUCUCCACAUAAAAGAAGAGACACUGAAACUUAUGGAGAGACAAAAUGGCAGGAACUACAGCCAAUUACUGGAAAACAUAAUGAAAAAUUGAAAAAUUGGAUGUUGGGCAGUAACAUCAAGAUUCCAAACUCCAGUUCAAAGGGCUGGAUUUAGAGAGUGAGUAUUCCCAAGGGGUUUUUUGAAGAGUGGAGAGUCAGAUAAACUGAGCAUGCAUUCCAAAGCUCAGUAAGUCUUAGAAUAAGAGAGAAAAACAAAUCCUGCAUGUAUAACAUGACAGCACGAGAUAGAAAGCCAAAAGAAGGAUCACUUAUACAUGUCUGCAUUCAAAGUAUGAAGCACAUAAAAUCUGAAAUUCUCUGGACCGAGCAGGAAAAGAACUGUGUGCUCAGGGAAAGUCACAAAGCAAUAUGGAGUCAAGCCUAUGAUUUAAAUGGACAGCCAGAAAUUUGGAAGGAACAAGACUUAACAUUUGAUGGGGAAGACUUGUAGAGACGAGGUAGACAAAGAUGAACAAAAUAGAAAUUUGCCAUCUCCAAUGCAAGGCACCAUCACUAAUAAAUAUCUUUGCUGAAAAAUAAAUGCAGAAUGGAAGACAGGAAAAGAAAAUUUGCAGAGUCCCCAAUGGAGGAGUUAGAAAGAGGACUGAAGAAGCUGAAGGGGUUUGCAACCCUAUAGGAAGAACAACAAUAUGAACCAACCAGAUCCCCCAGAACACCCAGGGACUAAGCCAUCAACAAAGAAAUUUCUAUCCUACUGGAUAAUGUAUGUAGGACACACAUGCCGUGUAAGAAUAACUUCCUUUAAACUUCAAGGAGAGAAUUUGCUCUGGUAAAGAAAUCAUACUUGUAACAUUGUAGCAAAGAUCUACAUAUAUACCUACGUGACUGAAAAUUCUUCCCUACCUUCCCAGGAUUUCUAGUUAUCCCCUAGGGGAGACAUAUAUAAGGUGACAGGGAAGUUAUAAUGAUACUUCUGAAACAAUUUGUGAUAGUGGUAACUUUCAGAGGACUGCUAAGACAGUAAACGAAUGAAGGUAUGAUUUUGUGACUCAGAAAUGAAGUUUCUCAAGGUUCUAGAAAGCUACAAAGAUGUCUGGCAUAUCCAGCAACUGCAUCAUCUUAUAAUUACUCCUGGUACAAGAUUGUGCCCAUUGAUAUCAUGGAAAUAUUUAUGUAGAACCAAAACAAAAGCUCUAUUUUGCCAA
RNAcentral lists this long non-coding RNA (1227 nucleotides) under Mus musculus (house mouse). Its description in RNAcentral is "RIKEN cDNA 4921515E04 gene". The record is from RNAcentral. Lineage: Eukaryota; Metazoa; Chordata; Mammalia; Rodentia; Muridae.